Molecule: ribosomal RNA, 1015 nt
Filed under: Bacillus velezensis
Lineage: Bacteria; Bacillati; Bacillota; Bacilli; Caryophanales; Bacillaceae
Description: bacterial SSU rRNA
Rfam family: Bacterial small subunit ribosomal RNA
Source: RNAcentral
GGCGGGUGCUAUAAUGCAGUCGAGCGGAAGUGGGAGCUUGCUCCCUGAUGUUAGCGGCGGACGGGUGAGUAACACGUGGGUAACCUGCCUGUAAGACUGGGAUAACUCCGGGAAACCGGGGCUAAUACCGGAUGCUUGUUUGAACCGCAUGGUUCAGACAUAAAAGGUGGCUUCGGCUACCACUUACAGAUGGACCCGCGGCGCAUUAGCUAGUUGGUGAGGUAACGGCUCACCAAGGCAACGAUGCGUAGCCGACCUGAGAGGGUGAUCGGCCACACUGGGACUGAGACACGGCCCAGACUCCUACGGGAGGCAGCAGUAGGGAAUCUUCCGCAAUGGACGAAAGUCUGACGGAGCAACGCCGCGUGAGUGAUGAAGGUUUUCGGAUCGUAAAGCUCUGUUGUUAGGGAAGAACAAGUGCCGUUCAAAUAGGGCGGCACCUUGACGGUACCUAACCAGAAAGCCACGGCUAACUACGUGCCAGCAGCCGCGGUAAUACGUAGGUGGCAAGCGUUGUCCGGAAUUAUUGGGCGUAAAGGGCUCGCAGGCGGUUUCUUAAGUCUGAUGUGAAAGCCCCCGGCUCAACCGGGGAGGGUCAUUGGAAACUGGGGAACUUGAGUGCAGAAGAGGAGAGUGGAAUUCCACGUGUAGCGGUGAAAUGCGUAGAGAUGUGGAGGAACACCAGUGGCGAAGGCGACUCUCUGGUCUGUAACUGACGCUGAGGAGCGAAAGCGUGGGGAGCGAACAGGAUUAGAUACCCUGGUAGUCGCACGCCGUAAACGAUGAGUGCUAAGUGUUAGGGGGGUUUCCGCCCCCUUAGUGCUGCAGGCUAACCGCCAUUAAGGCACUCCGCCCUGGGGGGGAGGUACCGGGUCCGCAAGGACUUGGAACCUGCGAGAGGAAUUUGGACGGGGGGCCCGCCACAAGCCGGUUGAGGCAUGGUGGGUUUAAUUCCGGAAGCACCGCGAGGACCUUACCAGGUCUUGACAUCCUCCUGACCAAUUCCCUUGGAGGU